GAUGAGGUUUGGCAAGAUCUUAUACGAGUGAGUAGUUUUUUUAAUUCAUUUUGUUGGUGCAAAAGGUGAUAAAGAUGAAUAAUAAACAAGAGAGAAUAAUAAUAACAAACUUUCACUACUAAAAAACGGUUACAUAGAAAAAUGCAUACACACACUGCAAAAGGAAUAAAGGUACAAUUUUUUCACACCACUCACUUGCUUAAAUAUAAA
Molecule: long non-coding RNA, 210 nt
Filed under: Lathyrus oleraceus (garden pea)
Lineage: Eukaryota; Viridiplantae; Streptophyta; Magnoliopsida; Fabales; Fabaceae
Description: Pisum sativum (pea) long non-coding RNA (PSAT_LNC030284)
Source: RNAcentral